This is a long non-coding RNA of Melanotaenia boesemani (Boeseman's rainbowfish), 1240 nucleotides long. RefSeq lists it as uncharacterized. NCBI's taxonomy places the organism in Eukaryota, Metazoa, Chordata, Actinopteri, Atheriniformes, Melanotaeniidae. The transcript has 3 exons. The record is from RefSeq and is a predicted model, not a curated record.
GAAUCAAAUCCCAUGACUGUCUCUGAUAUCUUCUCAGAUAUGGUGGAAGUUAAACUUGACAUAUCUGUCUCAGCCCCGUCUAGGAAUUUUUGCGUGGUUGUGCUGGCUAGUGUUGGAUCAGUUUUUGAUAAAAGAGAAAUGCUGGUGGGUGUGUUGUGACUUGUGACAUCAGAGACCUCAUUUGUAGCCUGCAUAGAAGUACCAAAGAUGCGGUCAAAGGCUGUUAAUCCAGAAGUGUCAGCUGAGGUUUUUUUCCCCUCUGAUGAUGUAGGAGCGUGCUGGCUUGUGGUCAAACUAGGUGAUUGGGUGGUAGUAGUCACAGGUGUAGCAGCAGAUCCAGUACUUCUUUCAUCUGUAGUGGCUUUAGUUGGACAUUCCUCCUUUGAUGUUAUUGGCAUUUCUUCUUUUGCUUCUGAAGGUAUGGCAGGUGGCUGCCCAUUUUGCCCUUUUUUAAUUAUCACAUUGUUGAGGUUGCAAUUGCUGAUCCCAGCUGAGGCUCUUAAUGUGCUAAGAGCUAUGUGAUAAGGGAAAAACACAGGAGCUUUAAAUUUUCCACAACACCCUUUAAUAGUAAGAGAAGCACUCAAUGAAAAAGAAAACUAGUUAGAAACAAAUGAAUAUUUAAUGAAAUAUUUUAUUUCCUUUUGACGCAUGUUUAUAAUGAUAAAACUUGUCAAUAACAAAAAUAUAUUUAGAUUUUGAUUAAUUUUGUGGUGCAUGUAUGAUUGUUUGGAUGAAGAUCUGAGUUUUAUGACUGACGGGCUAAAUCAGCUGGCUUCUAAUAUUUUCUACCUACAGUCUUGUAAUCCAGAAAGGCUGAUUUUUUUCCUUUUUGUGUGAGUAUUUUUUUCAGUAAAAGACCGUCAAACUUUUUAUCCUCUGUAACUGUGCCGACAGAGAAGGACUUCACAAGGAAAACGGUUUUAAUGGGAAACUACACCUCAGAAGGAUUUUUGUUCAACUGGGACGAGACCUUGGGGCAGUCCAACAACACCCUCAUGGCAUCAGGCCUGCUGACCUGGGAAUGCCUCGGGAUCCUCCAGAGUAGCUAGCCAGUGUAACUGGAGAAGCUGGAACGUCACCUCUCUGGUGGGGAAGGAAGCUGUUGGGCAAGGUUGACCGGUUCCGGCUAGAUAUAAUUGGACUCAUCUCGAUGCAUGGCUUGGGCUCUGGAACCACUGUCCUUGAGAGGGGCUGGACCCUCUUCCAUUCUGGAGUUGCUCCCGGUGAGACCCACUGA